AAGCCGUGAAUUGUCUGUCCAGGGUGGGAAAAGGCCUGAAUCUUCUCACUCCAGACACCGACCCUAGAGUUCCUCUUCAUGGUCCGCCUUGAGCAAGCCCAGCUCUGUUCACAGCCCCGCGCCUGAUUAAUUGUGCAGUUUUGGAUUUGUGAGAGUCAGCCUGUUUUUUUCCAGAUGAGAGCCACUCGGAGCAAAAACAAAGGUGACCUUGCUGUGCCACGUCGGAGCGUAAUGGGUUGCUGUGCUUCAUUCGUGAGGUCAUAUCAGCAGCACCUGCGAGGACUGUGUUGCUUGCGGAGUGUGGAAUGGAGGGGAGGCCUGUGCCAUUCUCCUGGCUGGCCGAGAUGGCGUAAUGGGAACUGCCAGCUGUGAUGGUAAUUACAGCACCACUAAAGAAGACGGGGGCUGUUUUUCUUCAGGGGGCUUACAGCUCAACUGAUUUUUCAUUUACAUGUUUUAAGUAAGAUG
This is a non-coding RNA of Danio rerio (zebrafish), 468 nucleotides long. NCBI's taxonomy places the organism in Eukaryota, Metazoa, Chordata, Actinopteri, Cypriniformes, Danionidae. The record is from Ensembl.